Molecule: ribosomal RNA, 404 nt
Filed under: Bacillus cereus
Lineage: Bacteria; Bacillati; Bacillota; Bacilli; Caryophanales; Bacillaceae
Description: bacterial SSU rRNA
Rfam family: Bacterial small subunit ribosomal RNA
Source: RNAcentral
AGUAACAGGUGGGUAACCUGCCCAUAAGACUGGGAUAACUCCGGGAAACCGGGGCUAAUACCGGAUAACAUUUUGAACCGCAUGGUUCGAAAUUGAAAGGCGGCUUCGGCUGUCACUUAUGGAUGGACCCGCGUCGCAUUAGCUAGUUGGUGAGGUAACGGCUCACCAAGGCAACGAUGCGUAGCCGACCUGAGAGGGUGAUCGGCCACACUGGGACUGAGACACGGCCCAGACUCCUACGGGAGGCAGCAGUUGGGAAUCUUCCGCAAUGGACGAAAGUCUGACGGAGCAGCGCCGCGUGAGUGAUGAAGGCUUUCGGGUCGUAAAACUCUGUUGUUAGGGAAGAACAAGUGCUAGUUGAAUAACCUGGCACCUUGACGGUCCCUAACCAGAAGGCCACGGCU